This 106-nucleotide small nuclear RNA is filed under the name Procavia capensis (Cape rock hyrax). The record is from RNAcentral. Lineage: Eukaryota; Metazoa; Chordata; Mammalia; Hyracoidea; Procaviidae.
AUUUGGGGCUCGUUUGUUUCAACCUACAGUUGGAACAACGCACAGAUGAUUAGCAUGACUUCUAAACAUGGAUGACAUGUAGUUUUGUGCAGCAAUCUGUGUUUUU